GGUGGCUCAGUGGUAGAGUGCUUGCCUUGCAUGCAGAAGGUCCUGGGUUCAAUUCCUCAGCACCA
RNAcentral lists this transfer RNA (65 nucleotides) under Dipodomys ordii (Ord's kangaroo rat). It matches the Rfam family "tRNA". From Rfam's summary of the family: Transfer RNA (tRNA) molecules are approximately 80 nucleotides in length. The record is from Rfam by way of RNAcentral. Lineage: Eukaryota; Metazoa; Chordata; Mammalia; Rodentia; Heteromyidae.